ACAAUUUCCCAUACAAAAUCUUUUCAAAAGUUCCCGUAUAAACUAUUCUUAUGUUGCUUCUGUCGGUGCAUCUAGUCUAGGGCUUCAACACACACAAAAAAAAUUCUUCACCAAUUUCUCGAAAACAAACAGGGAUAGCCGAUGUUGAGCGCAAGAUGUCAAAGAUUUGAUUUAGGAUUUCUUCUUAAAUAUACAUACGGUUUAUUUAGGAUGCCUUUUUUGGUGGUUUGAUCUCUUUCCUGAGUUUCAAACUCUGUAGCCUUGAAUGAACGACCCUGAAUCCCACGCAAGCUGUCAACACAUUACUGUACUUGGAUUCCGAGGUGUUUCUAUCCUUGGUGUCGUCAAGAGCUUAGUUUCUGGAGUGAUCAAGGUCAUCACGGUGGUUGUGUGUUACUAAUAUUGAACACUUAGUUUUGAAGUUGUGUUCAUGAUCUCAGAGAUGAUUGUAAAUUCAGAUUCUUGGCCAUCUCUACUGCUGCACACUUCUUGGCCAUCCUUGACCCUUUACUUGUUGUGAAUCACAAAUGAGCAAUGAUAUCAUAAGAGUUUUUGUGAUUUGUGCAAGCUAACAUGAAUUUUAAUAAAAGAUGCAUCCUUAUUUUUGUGCCAUAUUAACAGAUGCUGUAAGAGAUGGAAGUAAAAUAAGAUUUUCCACGAGAGUGUGGGGCAAUGGUAAUAAUGUCAAUUGUCAAGGACGAUUUUCCUUGCUUGUUUUCAUUAGCUAGUGGAAUGAUUGGAACUUCUCAUUAUUUAAAAAUUUGGUGUUGUUUGUCUUAUAUUCAUCUUAAAAUUCAUUCAUCAGAAAAUUUCACGAAGAAUUGUACUACUAUGGCUAGCUCUUACAAAAAUCUAUGUUAUGUAUGCUUGAUAUGUCAUGUAAACCAAUACUAAUAAGGAUUCUUAGUUCAAUUACAAGAUUUUUGUCAGAUAGUGAGCUUUUAAA
This is a long non-coding RNA of Solanum pennellii, 946 nucleotides long. RefSeq lists it as uncharacterized. The record is from RefSeq and is a predicted model, not a curated record. NCBI's taxonomy places the organism in Eukaryota, Viridiplantae, Streptophyta, Magnoliopsida, Solanales, Solanaceae. The transcript is spliced from 3 exons.